This 73-nucleotide transfer RNA is filed under the name Camelus ferus (Wild Bactrian camel). It matches the Rfam family "tRNA". From Rfam's summary of the family: Transfer RNA (tRNA) molecules are approximately 80 nucleotides in length. Their secondary structure includes four short double-helical elements and three loops (D, anti-codon, and T loops). Lineage: Eukaryota; Metazoa; Chordata; Mammalia; Artiodactyla; Camelidae. The record is from Rfam by way of RNAcentral.
GGGGUUAUAGCUCAAGGGGUAGAGUGCAAUGCUAACAUGCAUGAGGUCCUGGGUUCAAUCCCCAGUACCUCCU